AGUGGACGCUGGCGGUAGGCCUAACACAUGCAAGUCGAACGGCAGCACAGUAAGAGCUUGCUCUUACGGGUGGCGAGUGGCGGACGGGUGAGGAGUACAUCGGAAUCUACUUUUUCGUGGGGGAUAACGUAGGGAAACUUACGCUAAUACCGCAUACGACCUACGGGUGAAAGCAGGGGAUCUUCGGACCUUGCGCGAUUGAAUGAGCCGAUGUCGGAUUAGCUAGUUGGCGGGGUAAAGGCCCACCAAGGCGACGAUCCGUAGCUGGUCUGAGAGGAUGAUCAGCCACACUGGAACUGAGACACGGUCCAGACUCCUACGGGAGGCAGCAGUGGGGAAUAUUGGACAAUGGGCGCAAGCCUGAUCCAGCCAUACCGCGUGGGUGAAGAAGGCCUUCGGGUUGUAAAGCCCUUUUGUUGGGAAAGAAAAGCAGCAGGUUAAUACCCCGCUGUUCUGACGGUACCCAAAGAAUAAGCACCGGCUAACUUCGUG
RNAcentral lists this ribosomal RNA (492 nucleotides) under uncultured bacterium. Its description in RNAcentral is "partial 16S ribosomal RNA". It matches the Rfam family "Bacterial small subunit ribosomal RNA", at positions 29 to 507 of the family's 1533-position model. The record is from RNAcentral.